AUGGCGGACCCGGUGAAGGUUGGUCCAUGGGGUGCAGCGGGACAAGGACGCGACAUCAACGUCGGCAGCAGGCCCCAACGCCUCAACACCAUCACCAUUGGCUGGGAACCGUCAUGGGGUUAUGGGAAUGGUCGUAUCAUUGGCAUCUCCUUCGUCUACGUCGACCAGAAUGACAAGGAAAUCACGGUCGGUCCCUGGGGCAAGAUCGACCGGGAACACUCCCGGGCAAUCCAGAUAGACCAAGACGAGAAGCUGUAUGUCGUGAGUGGCACCUUCAACGACGCCGGCGUCACCUCGCUCAUGCUGAAAACCAACAAGACAGAGCACGGGCCCUUCGGCCAUGCGGCAGGGUCCGCCUUCAGCGUGCCCCUGAAGCAGGCCCAGGACGAUGGCGAGGUGGUUGGUGAGGUGGUGGCCUUCUUCUGCCGCUCCAACGACACCCUCCAGGCGCUGGGCGUCUACGUGCUGGGGGAGAAUGGUUUGCCGGUCAUGAUCGGUCCGUGGGGCGGCAUUGUUAACCAACGCAUCUCCACGCCGGUCCAGCUUAAGAGCGUCACUGUCUACAGCACUCAGCGCAUCGAUGGUUUCUCCUUCACCUACGUCGACCAGAAUGGCGACGACAUCCCCGUCGGCACCUGGGGCACCACCAAUGGACAGAAGAAUACGUUUUCCCUGAACGAAGGCGAGUAUGUCAAGGACAUGACUGGCACAUUUGACCUCGACGGCGUGACCUCGCUCAAGUUCACCACCAACCGGGAGCAUGUGCAUGGCCUGUACGGGCGCCUCUCGGGGACUGACUUCCGCGUGCCACUGCCGGACAACGCCGUGGUCGGCAACGACGGCAACCACAACGGCGGCGUGCUCGGCUUCUUCGGCGGUUCCGGGGGGAACAGCCUCGUCGCCCUCGGCGUGUUCGUCGGGGUCGCGCCCGCUCCCAAGCCAUGA
This 945-nucleotide ribosomal RNA is filed under the name Triticum aestivum (bread wheat). RNAcentral's name for it is "partial small subunit ribosomal RNA". Lineage: Eukaryota; Viridiplantae; Streptophyta; Magnoliopsida; Poales; Poaceae. The record is from RNAcentral.